Molecule: long non-coding RNA, 2325 nt
Filed under: Pectinophora gossypiella (pink bollworm)
Lineage: Eukaryota; Metazoa; Arthropoda; Insecta; Lepidoptera; Gelechiidae
Description: uncharacterized LOC126381125
Source: RNAcentral
CCCACUGCUGGGCACAGGCCUCCCCUCAAUCAACCGGAGGGGGUAUGGAGCAUACUCCACCACGCUGCUCCACUGCGGGUUGGUGGAGGUAUUUUUACGGCUAAUAGCCGCCGCGGUGGUGCAAUGGUUAACACGCUCGUCGCGACUUGACUAGAGCCACGGCUUCAAAUCCCGCCCGAGUCAGAAUUUUUCAAUUUAAUUUUCUCUUUGUAUUAAUCCUUUUACAAAUGGUUUUUAAAGAGGUUCGCUUACCAGACCCAUUAUUAUACGGUUAAUAUUCAAAAUUGUUUUAAAUUCAUAUUGUAAUUAUACUAGUCAAAAUAAGAAUGAAGUGUCUUUAAGGUUCUUCCUGUAUUUUAUAGGAGAUAUAUUUGGGUCUGCUUAUAAUAAUUUUAAAAUUAAUAUAUUUCGCGCACACUGUUUGACUUACCUUAUUUAUUAAAGUAAUUCGUUUAUUUCCCAAAUUAAUGUACCUUAUCUCUAUAAGCCUAUGCACAUAAGCACACACAGCAUUGUACUUUUUCAACUGUGUCAUCAGUCAGACUUUUUUGACGUGAUUUAUUGUAAAUUAAUUUGCCUCAGAUAGCUUUAAGCACUUGGCCGGACAAAUGGGCAUCGUUGGGGGCUCCGGUACAAAAAUUUUAAGACAAUAGGCCUGAGGGUGCCCAAUUGGCGAACUAUCUGUCAGAGAGUGAGAUCAUUAUGGGAACGAAUAUUAUAUUGUUUAUUACAUUAGCUAUUUCACUGUGAAAACGGUAAGAUGGCGGAGACAAUUCUCAGCGAUAAGGCUGCUAAUUGCUGUAAAAACAAAUGCCGGUUCUCCGUUCAAUAAAAUAAAACUGAACUAUGCUAUGCUAGGAGAAAAAACGGCUAUAAAAUGGUUGUUUAUUUUUAAAAAAACUUAGCCAGACGAGACACAGCUAAUUUACUUGUUAGCUGAUAACUCUAGCAAUAUUUAUAGUGAUUACAUUACAGUUAACGUAAUUUUACCUUCGUUAUACCAAAGGUUAGUAAAUUCUCUUACAAGUUUGCCGUUAUGUUAUUUAUAUUGGAGUUAUUUAUUUACUUUUUUGUGGUUUUAGCACGAAUUUGCUAUCAUACAAUUAAUACAGAGUAAAAUUGUAUGGGAGAUUAACUAGUUCCAUUUGCAACCGCUUGGCGGCGCUGUUCCUCAUACAUUUUUUUGGAAGAUAGAAAAUUCAUGUUUACACCACUUAGUUCGAUUUUGAUGUUUGUUGUUUUGUGAGUGAUUAUUUCACAUUUUUAAUCGGUAGCGUUAUAUGAAAUGAUUAGAAAUUAUGAAAAUUAGUCUUCUAAAUUGCCAAAGAAUGCAUUAUUGUAAAAAAAGGGUAGUUAAUUAUACCAUUUAUUGCCUUAUUUAUGUGUACCAAUUUGUUUUUAACGUUUUAUCAUAUUAGAUACUCAAAUUGCAACUAAUUAUUUAUUUUUAUAAAUUGUAAGCUUAGCCAGACACAGGUUGUUAGUGAUAUAACGAAAAAAAAAUUAGUAAGUAGGUACAUCUAUGUGAUUGUACUGAAAACGAUGGUCGGUAUUAUUCUAUCGAAUUAUCCCCCAAAGCUUUCUUUAAAGAUUUCUUACUUCACUAACACCCUGUGUAUAAAAAAAUUGAAAAGGUUGUUUUAAAUAUUACAGUUUUUUUUUAUACAUGUUGUUAGCAGCAUCGUAACGAAAACUUUGAGGGAUGAUUCAGACCGUGAUUCUGAGUUGAUAUCAAGUGGAAUUUUCCGUGGCAAAAGUAUAGUACUGAAAAUAAUAAAAUGAAAAAACACAAAUAAACGAAUUUUGCGACGGAAAAUUCCACUUGAUAUUAACUCAGAAUCAUGGUCUGAAUCAUCCCCCUCAGUAUUCGUUACGAUGUCACUAACACCCUGUAUACCUAUACCAUAGCAUGCUGCAACGCUUUUGACUACGCGACUAAGCUUAUUUAUCGCGACGCGCGCGACAUACGUGCAGCAUACUACGGUUACUAAUUAUAAUUUAUAACCCUUAUAACAUAGCAUGAUUAGGAGGAUAUAUUUCUCGUCUUUGUCGUUCUAACCUGUACAUCGUUAGUGGGAAAGAGACGUAUCUCUAUCCUGUGGUAAUCCUAAUCAUUGCUGUGCUAUAAGGGGUAUAGACUUAAAUACAACUAAUGAAUAGCCGACGUUGUAAAUACUUUCCAUAAUUUAUUUUGUAGUAUAGAUUUUGUUGUUAUAAAGUAUUGUAAUCGUUCACCGCUAAUAUAAUGGAUAUAUUUUCUGUGUAGCAACACGAAAUAUUGUACAAAGAAUAUUAUUUUUAAACAAUAAAGCUAUUUUAUUUUAA